AAGACUAUAGACCUGCGGAGUACCUGCGGAAGGAUCAUUACAGAGUUAUCAAACUCCUAAACCCUUUGUUAAUUUACCUAUUUGUUUCUUCGGCAGGUGGUCCCUGGGAGGGUCCUGCAGCCUGUUAAGGUACCUGCCGAAGGUCAUAACUCGGUUUUACAUUAUGUGUCUAAGUCUUACUAUAAAAUAAGUCAAAACUUUCAACAAUGGAUCUCU
Molecule: unclassified non-coding RNA, 216 nt
Filed under: soil metagenome
Description: partial contains 5.8S ribosomal RNA, internal transcribed spacer 2, and large subunit ribosomal RNA
Source: RNAcentral